RNAcentral lists this long non-coding RNA (10320 nucleotides) under Homo sapiens (human). RNAcentral describes it as "HSALNT0297326". The record is from RNAcentral. Lineage: Eukaryota; Metazoa; Chordata; Mammalia; Primates; Hominidae.
GAAAACACUGAACAUUUUUUUUGUUUUGUUUUGUUUUAAAUAAUAAUUAAUUUUCACUCACAAAACUGAGUAUACUUAAUUCAGGAAUUCUAACUCAAAUAAAAGCAGGAAAUAUGUCAGCUAAUUAAAAAAAACCGGCAACUUGAACAAUACUUGUCUCUCAGUAAAUAGUAAAGACCAUCACAAAAUAAAAGUGUUCCUGAAAAAUGGAAUGUGACAAAACUGGCACAAAUUUUACAUUUGACAACUAAAGGUAUUUUUAUUAUUCUUAUUUUCUUGCCUUUGAAGUACUUCUUAUAUUGUAUCUGACUCGUUCUACUUCCAGAAUUUUGAGGUUCCACUUGCCUUUGAUCUUUCAGUAGCCAUUCCCAAUAGUUCUUUCAUCCACACCAUCGAGCCGCCCUUGACAUAACACCAUCUUUUAUUCUUAGAAAAGGGAAAAUCUUUUAUUUCAAAGGCUUUGGUGAUUUUCCCUCAUGGGUCACCCUGAAAGUAUUUUUCAUCUUCCUAUGGGUGAGAACCUCUUAUUCCUUGAGCCUCUGGAUGGACUCCUGGGUUCCCUCUCUUCUAAAGUUACCAUUCAGCAAGGAGGAAUCACAGCUAUUCACAUUUCAAUGAUGCUGAUUCCUCUUUUACCUAGAUGGAAUGCUAUUUCUUUCAUUUACACUUUAUCCUUGAAACAAUGACCAAAAAAAAAAAAGGGUAAUAUUUGUUUACGUAAUUGGAUUAACAUCUGAAAAUGGAUUACUUAGGUUUGCUAGGCUUUUAUUAUCUUUUAUUGGAUAGGUAUUUAAAUAUCUCUCUGGUGCUUACACACAACUAGAUUAUUCAGCAUUGGGAGUAAAUUAUGCUUUCUGAUUUCACAAAUGAUAGUGCCUACAUGCACGAUUAUCUGCUUCUCACACACUAAUACAGUGUUUGUGUUAUAUGGGAGAGAUUUCUCUCAAUCUCUUCCCCCUUCCCCUCCUCUCCCUCCCUCCCUUUCUAGUUCUCUCCUAGUCUUUUAAAUAAGGAUUAAGCAGAUGUGCUUAAACUGCGGCUUUAUAUCUACAUGAAAAUUAAGCAGCGACAGGAAGAGAAAGCUGCACAGCUUUCUCCUGUACUGAGAUUUUUCAAUACAUUCUCACUAUUGAGAUCACAGUAAACUGCCAAAACACCUGAUGCGCCCUUUUUUCAACUUAAGCAAAAUAUCAUAAUACAAAAUAAAUACCGAUAGAUCAUAUUUAAGUUACUUACUCUUUUGUUUUAACCAUAAUUCUGUUUUCCCUAUUAAGACUAGUGACCAAGGAUUGUACAUUCGUUGAAUAAUCUGUAGAACUAGAAGCAAUGUAGAAACAAAUCUGAGGCUGAAUAGCCUGGUGUGCAUUGAAGCAUCAUAUGGAGUGCCAGGCACACGAGACACUCAAUGUUACUUCCCUUUCCUGACCCCUUCUUUCUCAACCUUAGUACUGUAUUUAAAAUUAGAACAAGGAAAAUUAAAUUGAACUAUUCCCUUUUAGGAUAUGACAACCAGUAAAUUUUAUGAUAAUAUCAGGAAACACAAAUUAACAAAUUUGCUUAUGUUAAAGACAAGUAUAAGCUAGACUAUACAAUGACAUGAGCUUGUUAAAUGAGAUAACAUUUAUAAAAUGUUAACAGAAGUGCCUGGCACAGAGUAAGCACUAUUUUUUAUUAGCUUUUUCUUAUUAGCUAACCACCAGUAAGUACAAAAUUAAGUAGCUCUAAAAAAAAGUUUUAAGGAAACCUGCCAAGCCUGAGAUCAAAAUUACACACAGAGAUAUACACACACUGACAAAAGGAUUUAUAUCUAUUUAUGUGCAGUUUAAUUUUCACGAUAUUAGAUUCUACCUAAUAUCUGCCACAUUGAUAACAACUACUUUUUAAAUUUCUCAAAGAAAUGGAAGGUUUAAUUUCAGUUUAAAAAUAAACCAGUUAUUUAACCAAUACACACACACACACACACACACACACACACAAUCCCAAUCUGUUCAAGUAUUGUCUUAAACAAUAUUUUAAAAUAUGUAUCAAAACAAAACAUAAGCUACAAAAUGGUUCAACAGAGCAUUACCUUUGCAUGAAAUUUUCAGUUAAAUUUCUAAUUCUUUAGUCUCUCAAUAUAUUCUGUAGUUUUUAUUAAAACAAAUUAUGUUAAGAUGUACCUCUUUCUUUUUCUAAUUGUUAAGCUAGCAAGGGAUAUAUUAGGUAAAGACAUCUAAUUCUUCCAAAUAUUAUAAAUUCCUUAAUAUUACUUUUGUAACAAUAUUAAAGUUAAUAGAGAUAUUUACCAAUUGCAUGUUCACAACCAACCUUUCUAGGGGAGACAUAAAUUCAGAUUUUUAUGUGGAAUUUACUGAAUUCUCACUAUAAUGCCAACCCUUUUCAACAUUCAAAGCAAAGUAUAGUUCUACUUUUUUUCACUGGCUACCUCUUCUCACUAUCUUUUCCUAGCUCCUCCUUGUGUCUCUUCCAAAUAUGAAGUUUCCCAAGGCUCAGAAACCAGUCAUCUGCUACUCUCUACAUGUUUAUUUACACUGUCACAUGCAGUCCCUUAGCUUUAAGCUCCAUCUGAAUGCAAUGACUCCUAUGUUUAUGUCUCCAGUUGAGACCUACUGAAUGGGCCUCAGCCUCUUAUCUCCAACGGAUUUCUUGACCUCUCUACCACCUAAUGAAAAUCAGACAUCAAUAACAGCCCAAACAUAACUCUGGAUUUCUGACCCCCUAAUUUGGCUCUUUCCCAUCCCAGUGCUCAUGGGGAAAAAAAGUCAUUCUCUAAAAUGUCUUUGUCUUUUCCAUGCAGCCACUUCUCUUAAUUCUAUGUCAGUCUUUCCUUUCUUUCCACCUGCACUGCCAACACUUGGUCCAGAUCACCAUCCCCUUUCUCCAUCCUCCCAUUCAGUCUCCUCAUAACUGCUUCCAGGCUUUGCCUUACUUCCAAUCUAUUCUCUUCAUAACAGUCAAAGUGAUCUCUUCAACACAGAAAGAAGAUUAGGUUAUUCUGUACUUAAGAACUUAAAAUGGUUCCUUCCCUUUAUACUUCAGGUAAAAUUCAAGCUCUUUCCAUUUCCAUCAAGGCCCUGUGGGACCUGCCUUCUGCUUAUCUUUCUAGCCUCACCACAACCUGCUCAGUUCUUACUCACCAUACUACAGAUGCCUGACCUUUCUGUGCCUCGAACCUACCAAUUUGUUUGGUUUUGCCAGAUAACCUUUACUCUUGCCAGUCUCCCUCACAUGGAUCCCCAUAUUCUUGUCAGCCAACAGGUAGCUCAAUGAUUCUUCUUCAUAAGGAUCUUCCCCGAUCACUCUGUCUAAAAGUGCAUUCACCCCUAAAUCUGGGUCUGGCCAGAUUAAACUCUACCAUAUUACACUACUUAAUUUUCUUCACAGCAUUUAUCUAUAACUGAAGUUAUCUCAAUUUGUUGUUUGUUUUCUUGUUAUCUCUCACCACUAGGAAGUCAGUUUCAUAAAAGUAGUUACACUUUCUGCUUUCUUUACCACUGUGUCAACACUUAAAACAGUUUUUAGCUUAGCAGGGGCUCUAUAAACAAUUGAUGAAUCGAUGAGUGAAUCAUCUCAUUUAAUAUCUCUUGCUAUUAUUUCCAUUUUACACACGAGGAAACUGAGGCUUUGGAAGGUAAUUCUUCCCCAAUUUUUCAUCAUUGGAAGUCUCCAAUGAUGAAACUGGAAUGGAAUCCGGGCAAGAUUUCAAAGACUGACUUCUUUAAGUACUUUAAAAGUAGCGAUUGUCUGAAUCCAACAUUUGCACUAAAGUUUCUUCAAGUUACUUUUAUCAGCUCCCUGACCUUUUCCUUUUUCUUUGGUUUAUCUGUUUCCUUCAUAUCACCACUUCCUUUCCGUCAAAACUCUCAACUGAUGUCUUAUGCUUCAUUUAUGUUUCCUUAGCCAUUACAUACCUUUAUCAUACCUAAAGCAUCAAUAAGUAAAUUCAGAAAAUAAGAACAUGGGUCAUUGGAAAGUAGAAAUACAUAGAGUUUAGUAAGCAUAGUUAAAAUCUUAUUUUAUAAACCAGACUAUCUGGAAAUCUAAGUCUAAGAAGUCAAAGUAUAAUAUUUGGCCUAAAUUAUAUGAUUGGAAUCCACAUUUAUCAAAUGAACCAAACAAUAAUUUUUUUUUGUUUUGUUUUAGUCUCCUCAAAGUUUAGCCAACUUGUCUCUGGAAUAAAAAGUGUAGGAUGGAUUUACCUGGUUCACUUAAUAUGCUUUUUGGAUGACUAUGAAAAGAUUAUCUAGUGUCUACACUUCCUGGAAUAAGAUGAGAACCUUAUGUGUUUUCCAUGAUCAAAGUGUUUAACAAAGGUCAAGUUACUUCCCUUGCACUUCAAAAACAAAAAAAAAUCUAGAUACUUUGGUGAAUUAUUUAAUGUUUUUCACUUUAUGUAAUAUCAAAAAUGAGUUGGGUGGGGGAAAAUCCAUUCUUUCCAUCAUAUCACUCACCUCAAGACAGACUCAGUCCUGUCCUUUGUUAGCCUCCUUUUCAGGAUGAUUGUAACACAUCACAUCAGUAUUCAUAGUGAAGACAAAUUAAUCAAAGAUGUCUUUUUGUUUUUUAUAAAAGUCAUACAAUCUUAUGUGAAUUUUACAUAGAUACAGAAUAUGCUAAAGAUAUAGAAGCAGCUCAGUGCACAAUGGUUCAUGUAAGUAGCUAAAUCAGGUGAAUGAACUUACAUGCAUAUGUCACACAAACAACCUCUGAGAAAUUACCAGCUCCCAUUCAGUCCUGCUGUGAUUUGCCCAUCAUCACACAGUCAUGUCUUAAAUUCCAGGUUAUUAAACUGACCACUAAGAAGAUUGAGUAACCGAGUGGAAAAUCUAGAAUCUGGUCUAUCUAGAAUCAGAUAGACCCCGAUUAAGACCCCAGCCUUCACCCCACCCCCUACAACUCUCAUUUGCUAUUAGCUGGUGACCUUGGAAAAUUAGAAAGACUACCAAAAAAAAGUAAGAAUUUGUUUGUGUGCUGUGUAUUUCUGUAUGUUUUCCCUUUUCUCUCCACAUAAACAUUUUUUCAGAAUAAAUUACAAAACAAACAAACCAAAACAAAAUAGGACUAUUGUCUAGUACCUCUUCACAUCUACCAACUUUAUUUAUUGAAUAUCUAAUAAUAAUCUACACAACUCAGUGGCAGCACCAGAACUUCCAUAAUUUAAAAGUCUGCAAAGAAAAUCUGGUUGUAACAGGGACCUGGAGGAAGUCUUGUAAGAAUAUAAGUUUUACUUAAUAUGUUAUAUAUAGAUCUUAAGAUAGUGAUUUUUAAAUUUAUAAUUUAUAAAACAUUGAUAACACCAAUAAUUAUCUGUAGCAAGGUAUGUUGUUACUUUGAGGAGGAAGUUUUGGGGUGCUGAUGAAGAUUUUGGAAGAUUUAAAACACCAUCUCCAAGAAGCCACUGAUAGAAAAUACGGGCUUCAUGGGAUAGGUGUCCUCAGCCCAAAUUACAUGGAAAACACUCACAAAAUAGUUGUUUAUCAAAUGAACUAAUAAGUUAAUAAAUAACUGAAUAGAUCUAGUUGUCCUAGUCAAAUGAAAUACUCAAAAAGUUUUUAGAUCCUGAGAACUGGAAACCUGAAAUUCUUAUUUUUCUAUUCAUUUCUAUAUUUUUCAAAUUGUCUAGAAUAAUCAAGGUUUACUUGGGAAAAAAUUGAACAUGAAAUUUCAUACACAGCAUGUGAUCAAAAGAUAGAGGAAGAAAAACAAAAUGUUAGCAUGGGCUCUAAGCAAUUUCUUUUUCCUUCUAUUUCUUGACAUUUUCCAAAUUUUCUAUUAUGUAGAAAUUUUUACCAUAAAUAAUUCCCAUAAAUAACAAUAAAAGGACAGAAUCAAAAUUGUUUUUAAGAAUUAUUAAGUGCCUUCUACAUACAGAGUUGGGUUAAGCUGACAGACCAUUCGUUUGUUCAGCAAACAGGUACUGAGGACCUGCAGGCACUGGCAAAUAAGCAGAGACCCAGUGAUAGCCUACAUGAGCUCACCAGUUGCUGCAAGAGAGCCUGGUAAAGAGAACUCCAAGAGAAUUAUUCAAAGGAUCAUCACAGCAGAAGAAUACCUAUGCAGGUGUGAAAGGGGCUGAAGAGCAAGGGUUAUACAAGUGGGAUAGGGGCUGUCUAGAGGACAUGAUCUUUACAGUAAAUUUGAAUACAAUUUAUAAUUUGCACCAUUGAUAAAAAGAUGUGGAGAGAAGGAAAAACAGCAUGGCCAACAGUAGGAAGACCAAACAAGGUCACAUUUUUAGAAAAAUGCAAGUUACAAAAAGAGUCACAAAGUGGUUAGAGAUAAAGCCAGACAAAUCUGAAGAGAUUCAAUUACAUAUGUGUGUGCAAUGCUAAUUGCUUUUAUUUUUCCUAAAUGCACAAAGACCAAAGUAGGAUGAUUUGACACUUUCCCCACACACUAUUUUACAUUGAGAAGAUUUUAAACUUAUCACCUUGAUUCUUCUCUUUACUUUUUGCUCCAAUAAUGAAUAAGAAAUUGGUACUAAGUGUGAAAGCUAAUAAGAGGAAUACCAUACAAAUGAAUGAGAAUUCAAACAUAAUAAUUCCAGGCUAUCAAGCAGUCUUAAAAGUGUUUCUAAAGUUUCUAUUGGCUAGAUAAGAAAUAAUCGAAAGUCUUAAAAUUUCAAAAUGAAUCUAGCUCAAAGAGCUGUCAAUCUCCACAUUAAUGUCACUGAUAGAAAUUUCAACACAACAAAAAAUUGAGAAUGGUUAAUAUUGCCCGAUUUAAGUUUGACAAAAAUGAAAAAUUACAUAAAUUAUAUUUUUUGUAGCAUUGAGACACAAAACCAAUUAAAAAAACUAAACUAGCGGUAGCCAAAACUACACACAGAAAAUGUUUCUGGCCAAAGAGAAGAAUUUAAAUGGUUUUGGAAAAUUUAGAUCUGUAUUGUUUGAAAAGAAGAAUUACCUUUAGAAAAGUAAUAAUCACAAAGGAAAAUUCCAAGCAUAAGCUAUAUUCAGUAGAACUUGACAUGGGUAAAAUGGAUUCAUGAAUCUAAUAGUUAUUGUAAAAAUUAAAUGAAAGUGAUGCUGCUAAACAUUAGUUCAGUAAAAUUAAAAUUAAAAUGGAAAAACUGCCAAGGAUUUCACUAGGUAAUAUAUAUAUAAUCAUCAGGGAAUUAAAUUGGUCUAAUGGAGUUUUUUUCCUCCAAAAUUUAUCUUUAAGGAAAACUCAUAAAUGUUGGUAUAUUCUAAUUAAAUAUUUGUUUUCAUAAAAGUUGAGCCAAAACAUACUUGGUAUCAAAUCACGGGUUCAGUAUAUUUUCUACCAAUAGGAGCUUUUAAAAGAGGAAUGGACAAAGGUAAGUUCUGCCUUUUACAAAGAUUAUCCUGGUAAUGGUGGGUAUGGACACAGUAAGGAUUGAAGGCAGGUGAGACUUCAGGAUAUUUUUACACUAAGAAAUCCCUGGCAAAGUAGAAGUGUGUGGAUUUACAAACUAUUUAGACUGUAGAAUCUGGAGAAGCCUGAAAAAUCUCUGAAAUAAAGAAUGCAAAGUUAAAAGAAUUCAAAGGCCUAUAAGGGAUUAUGCCUCUAUCACUUAACCUUAAACUAUCCCUUUAUCUGCUCACAGUGUCUGAAAGGAAGAGAUAUCAUUUGGAAUCAAGUUUAUGCUAAAAGGCUAUGUGCUCUGAUUUCAUGGGCUCACAUGAAAAAAUUUACUUCUCAGAGUAUCACAUAAUUUCAAAGCAUUUUCACAAAUAUUAUAACUUUUAAUGCUUACAACACUUUAUAGAUGAGGAAAUUGGGUCUCAAGGGUGAAAAUUGAUUUAGCUAAAAAUCACAAGAUUCAUAGAGUUAGAUUUUCAAAAUAUUUAUCACUACAGAUGUCAUGAUGUUUCCCAGCUUGGAGUGGUUUCUGCCUCAUUUUCUAUUAUGCUUAAUAUGUUUUAUCAGUAAAUUAUUAUAUUUUUCAUCAAGUGGAUGUGUUUAAAAUAUAGUGGCCACACUGUAUUGCCAUGAUAUUUAUUGUGAUUUUGAUAUUGUCUCUUAGCAUCAUUGUUAUUUGUAUAGGUUUCUCUAAACUAUCUCUUGAAUGACCACAGACAAAUUGUACUUUAAUUUAAAAUGCAGAGAAUGUCUUCUUGUCUAUCAGUGAUUUCUAUCAAGUUUGCUAUACCAGCUGUUCAUAUCCUAAUACGUAUGAGUGUGUUACCUGAGUUACCCUCAACUUUUGCCUUCUACUCCUACAUUAGCAAAUCCCUAUUUUGGAGGGUGGAUGGUUUUCUUCCAGGUAUGCAAAUUUUGAUUAUAUUCUUAAAUAAAUGAAUGAUGAUCAUUUAUACUUCAAUAUAAUUGCAUUGUAAUUACAGUUUUAUAAUAAAUACCCUGUAUAGUAGAAACUGAAGUUUCAGUUAGGUGGCUUUUUCCUUUCAGACACUUGACUCAUUUUUAGAGGAAAUAAAUAUUGAAUCUUUAAAUACUAUAGAGUUAAGCACCAUAGAAUAUAUUUGUUUAAGCUCGGUCUCUACUAAAAUCUCUAAUAAAAACUGAUAAUUUUGCUGAUUGUCUGUUAAGAAAUCAAUCAAUUGAAGGUACUAUGAAUGGAUAUAGAAGAUGCUUGUUUACUUCACUAAUAUUGACUUUAUGUGUAUUUAUUCUUGUCCUAGAUGAAAGAGUAGGAAAGCUUUUGUUUCUCUAUUUGUUCUUGUUUUUUGUUGUGAUUCCUGAACAUAUAAUUCUCUGCUUAUAGUAGUCAUUCCUAGACUCUUUUAACAGACUGAUAUUGAAGUAGCACACUGACAUACAAACAGGAAUGAAGAUUAAAUAUUUUAGACAAUAAUUAGAUAUUUUCUAAUAUAAAUAUUGGUUAGAGCCAGGUACACAAAAUCCAGUGAUUGCCAUAAUUUUUAUUCCUGUAUAUUUGGGUAUUAUAUAGAAAUAGGCAUCAAAUCAUAUUGCUAAAGUCUUGCCAUAUUUUUUUUCUGGUGUAUCAUAUCUUAAAAAGUGAGGUCUUUAUGUAUGCAAAAGUCAUAGCACUAAGCCUUUGGUAAAAGGCCACUGCUAUGGGAUUGAGUAUCUAGUACUUACAAAGAUAUUUAGACUAGACAGAAAUUAAUUUUAAACUGAAGAUAUGUUAAAUUUCCAUUCUAAUUGUUUCCCAUGUAAAUAACUACAUAAAUCUAUAAGAUGUCUAGAAAAAAAAAUCAAAGGUCAGCACUGAUGAAAAAUUUCUCUCUCUGCACCAAGGUGACAUAUACACACAUGGUCUGAAGAUGAAACCUUGCCUUUGUGAACAUUGUGUAUUUACCAAGAGAAUGAAUCAACCUCAGUACAAAUCUCUGCCCCUUACCUACUCAGAUUGACAUUCAUCACCACACUGUCUGUAAAGAAAUUAUUCCCAGCUCUCUACAAACUUUUGUCGUGCAAAUAAUGCAACACCUAGGGUGCACCAUAUUCCAUCUGCCCUUGCAAGCAAUCCCAGAGCACUAGCAUCAGUGUUCAAACCAGCAAUUGCCAUGACUGGACCUGAUCUGUUUGUGUUAUCACUCCGCUACAUUUGUAUUUCCCUCCCAUUCCUUGCUUUUUCUCCUAUGGGUAUGUGUAUCUGAAAAAUAAAAUUGACCCUCCAAAUUACAUUACCUAGAAUGUCCAAAGAGCAGAUCAAAGAAAAUUUAGGAAAAACAUUCUCAAACUAUGAACUUUUAGGAAGUCAGGAGGCUCUUUCCAGACGAGAGGUGAGAUAAGGAGAGUAAGAAAGGGAGCAAAGAAAAAACAAACAAACAAACAAACAAAAACAAAAAGGCAAGACUGUAAACAUCUAGAUCCAAAAUCAACUUAAUUUAAUCUGGACAAAAUAGUCCUGCUGUCUUCAUCCUCCCACUUCGCCUCUGGUUAAUUUUUUUAUCUCAUAUUCUCCCUCUUUUUGACUUCCCUCUUUGAAAAUUUUCCUUUCCUUUGUCACUACAAUAUGCAGUUUUAUUUUUUUAAUCUAUGAUUUAUUCAGUGUCUGGUGAAAAAUUAGGUAUGGGAACUAUGAGUUUAUGCCUUUUGUGUCUCCUAUACCUGAUUUCAUGUAGGUUACAAUGUCAAGAAAUCCACUAAUUCACAUGUCAUCAUCAUCAUCAAUCAUCAUCACAAAAAAGAGCAGAUUGAAAUGACUUGAAAAAUGCCAAGAAAAGGUGAUAAAAAGUGUGCAAUUCAAUGGAAAUAUUUUGUGGCAAAAGUGACAUAAGAGAACAUAAUAGAAGAAGUAGGAUUUGCCCAGAACCUUAAACACCUUGAGAAAGUAUAGAGGUGGGUGUUAAAACUACCUCCUGUUUGUUUUCUUUUAAUCAAUCAUAGAAGAAAAAGAAAGAAAAAAGAAAGAAAGAAAGAAAGAAA